GGAGGGGCAAGGGGGGCAGAAGUGCACUUUGUGUUAUUGAAAUUCUGCCUGCUAAAUCUUAUCUCCAGUUUUGGGCAAAGUCAUGAGGUGUGAACUUGAAUAGUUGAAUGUGACCUGAUUAAGUGUGUUUGUGCAGUUAUAGUUCCUUGAGUAGACUUUAUUUCCAGAACACAGAACAGCUAUCGUCAAUGGAACAUGCACAAUCAGGCUUUCAUUGGCAAGUCAACACAUAAUUGUAGGUCUAAAAAGGUGCCCUUGCCUUUUUAUUGUUCCAACGUCCCUGUAUAAAUGCAUCAAAUCUUUUUUUACCUGUAGUACUUAUGUUGUGUUCUGUUGUGGGAGUUUAACCUUAUUCCAUCACCAACUUCUGUAACAAUCUGACCACCCAAGCUGGAUAUUUUAGAGGAUAUACCGAAUGACCUACCACUGGUGAAUUUGGAUGAGCCAUUGUUAUGCAAUUGCAUUAAGCAGCCAUUAAAUCCUAUGUGUUUAGUUAAAAUUCAUGGUGAAGAGAUGCCUGGUGAUGUGGAAAGUAUUGGUGCAGAAGGUGGAGUUGCAGACAUGGACAAGAUUGAUGAAAUUCAGCAGUUGACCCAAUUAUUGGGUGUGGGACAGGCUACUGAUGAUGCUAAUUGCUAAAUACAUGAAUGAUUCAAGCUCUGAUUAGCAGGAUGGAGACAAGGAUUCUAAAGGACAAGGAUUGUGGAGGAGACACAUUGUAUCCUGAGAAUUAAGACAAGGAUUGUGGAGGACACUUUGCAUCCUGAGAAGUUUGUUGUAGCUGGUUGCUGGCGAGAACAAAGAUACCAUGCAACUUGUGAUAAUCAUGGAUAGAUGAUCAAAAAAUCUCAAGUUGAAAUUUAAAGUAGAACAUGAGCAAGACAUUUUUAGUUGAGAUUUUCAUAUAAAUUUAUUCCUAUUAAAACACUGUUAUUAUUUCAGGUAAAUAUUUGACAUUAGUAUUUUUGCACAAGUGAACAUAAUUAACAAAUGCUACAAGGUGAUUGGUCAAAUUUGAC
This is a non-coding RNA of Paramuricea clavata, 1019 nucleotides long. The record is from the annotation of a GenBank genome assembly. Lineage: Eukaryota; Metazoa; Cnidaria; Anthozoa; Malacalcyonacea; Plexauridae.